GACGAACGCUGGCGGCGUGCUUAACACAUGCAAGUCGAACGGAAAGGCCCUGCUUUUGUGGGGUGCUCGAGUGGCGAACGGGUGAGUAACACGUGAGUAACCUGCCCUUGACUUUGGGAUAACUUCAGGAAACUGGGGCUAAUACCGGAUAGGAGCUCCUGCUGCAUGGUGGGGGUUGGAAAGUUUCGGCGGGUGGGGAUGGACUCGCGGCUUAUCAGCUUGUUGGUGGGGUAGUGGCUUACCAAGGCUUUGACGGGUAGCCGGCCUGAGAGGGUGACCGGCCACAGUGGGGCUGAGAUACGGACAAGACGCGUACGGGAGGCAGCAGUGGGGAGUGUGGCAGAAUGGGCGGAAGCGUUAUGCAGCAACGCCGCGUGGGGGGUGACGGCCUGCGGGUUGUAAACCGCUUUCGCCGGUGACGAAGCGUGAGUGACGGGAAUGGGUAAAGAAGCACCGGCUAACUACGUG
This 468-nucleotide ribosomal RNA is filed under the name uncultured bacterium. RNAcentral describes it as "partial 16S ribosomal RNA". It matches the Rfam family "Bacterial small subunit ribosomal RNA", at positions 28 to 507 of the family's 1533-position model. The record is from RNAcentral.